UACGUAGGGGGCAAGCGUUGUCCGGAUUCAUUGGGCGUAAAGAGCGUGUAGGCGGCCAGGUAGGUCGGUUGUGAAAACUGGAGGCUCAACCUUCAGAGGUCGACCGAAACCAUCUGGCUAGAGUCCGGGAGAGGAGAGUGGAAUUCCUGGUGUAGCGGUGAAAUGCGCAGAUAUCAGGAAGAACACCCGUGGCGAAAGCGGCUCUCUGGAACGGUACUGACGCUGAGACGCGAAAGCGUGGGGAGCGAACAGGAUUAGAUACCCUGGUAGUCCACGCCGUAAACGAUGGGCGCUAGGUGUGGGAGGUGUCGACUCCUUCCGUGCCGCAGCUAACGCAUUAAGCGCCCCGCCUGGGGAGUACGGCCGCAAGGCUA
Molecule: ribosomal RNA, 374 nt
Filed under: uncultured Gaiellaceae bacterium
Lineage: Bacteria; Bacillati; Actinomycetota; Thermoleophilia; Gaiellales; Gaiellaceae
Description: bacterial SSU rRNA
Rfam family: Bacterial small subunit ribosomal RNA
Source: RNAcentral